Molecule: long non-coding RNA, 434 nt
Filed under: Dermacentor andersoni
Lineage: Eukaryota; Metazoa; Arthropoda; Arachnida; Ixodida; Ixodidae
Description: uncharacterized LOC126534135
Source: RNAcentral
AGCAGCUGGACUUGAGGAGAGCUCGGUUCUCGGAGUUGCCCAGCAUGCCUCACUCCAAGAGCAACUUCGCCGCCGUCAUUCUGGAAGGCUGCAUUUACACCAUUGGAGGUUUCAAUGGACUGUCAACUGUGCGACUCGUCGAGCGCUAUGACAUCGCCGCCCGGAAGUGGUUCACCGCCCCUGAGCUCGGCGUAAACUGCAGUGCGUCCACCGCCUGCAUCAUCACCGACCUCUCCAACCCCGCCGCCUGGAUAUAAGCAUCCGCCGCUUAUCGCACCUGCGGGGCGGAGCACCGCGAUGACCCUAGACGACCCGCAAGCCUGACAUCGUCAUCCCAGUAACACCAGCCGUGUCGCUCUAUAUGCGCCAGUAGCGAAAGAAUGGCACAAGAAAGCUGGCUGAAAAACGCAUAAAAGAAUGAAAUGACAUGAAUG